This 411-nucleotide ribosomal RNA is filed under the name Bacteroidota bacterium. RNAcentral's name for it is "Bacteroidetes bacterium partial 16S ribosomal RNA". It matches the Rfam family "Bacterial small subunit ribosomal RNA", at positions 355 to 776 of the family's 1533-position model. The record is from RNAcentral. Lineage: Bacteria; Pseudomonadati; Bacteroidota.
UGGGGAAUAUUGCGCAAUGGGGGAAACCCUGACGCAGCGACGCCGCGUGCGGGAUGAAGGCCUUCGGGUUGUAAACCGCUUUUGAUUGGGAGCAAGCUUUCGGGUGAGUGUACCUUUCGAAUAAGCGCCGGCUAACUACGUGCCAGCAGCCGCGGUAAUACGUAGGGCGCAAGCGUUAUCCGGAAUUAUUGGGCGUAAAGCGCUCGUAGGCGGUCUGUUAGGUCGGCAAGUUAAAUCCGGGGGCUCAACCCCCGUCCGCUUCCGAUACCAGCAGACUUGAGUUUGGUAGGGGAAGGUGGAAUUCCUAGUGUAGCGGUGGAAUGCGCAGAUAUUAGGAGGAAUACCGGUGGCGAAGGCGACUCUCUGGUCUGUAACUGACGCUGAGGUUCGAAAGCGUGGGUAGCAAACAGG